CAAUAAUAAUUCCCAAGCAAGACACUGAAGUCCAAUAUACUCCCAGCUAGCAUGAAUGGACUACUGUAACUAUAGGGUAAUACUUGAAUGACAAAAAAACACAGUCGUGUCAGUGUUCACCUCUCAAGGUCGUUUUGAAAUCGGAAAAUAGACGGAAAAUCACCAUUUUUCACUGGGGUGGGUUCAAACCCACGAGAAAAUAUUCCACCUCCCACCCAACCCCCCACCCAUGCCAUCCGCCCCCAAAUCCCAAUAAGUAGUUUAAUAGAUGAGCAUCAGUUACAGCAUCAGGAGUUUGCUCAUUUGCAUAUAAUUUGCAUAUGUUUGCAAAUUUUCGAAAAUGCCUGAUUUUCCAAAAAUGUCUUGGGGGCG
RNAcentral lists this long non-coding RNA (372 nucleotides) under Mytilus galloprovincialis (Mediterranean mussel). Lineage: Eukaryota; Metazoa; Mollusca; Bivalvia; Mytilida; Mytilidae. The record is from RNAcentral.